RNAcentral lists this ribosomal RNA (115 nucleotides) under Amphilophus citrinellus (Midas cichlid). The record is from RNAcentral. Lineage: Eukaryota; Metazoa; Chordata; Actinopteri; Cichliformes; Cichlidae.
UCCUGUUGGCUUACGACCAUAUCAUCCUGAGCCUGUUUGACCUCGGAAACUAAUUGGGGCAGCCUGGGUAGUACUUGGAUGGGAGACCAACAGGAAACACUAAGUACUCCAGGAG